RNAcentral lists this transfer RNA (71 nucleotides) under Cercophora newfieldiana. It matches the Rfam family "tRNA". From Rfam's summary of the family: Transfer RNA (tRNA) molecules are approximately 80 nucleotides in length. Their secondary structure includes four short double-helical elements and three loops (D, anti-codon, and T loops). Further hydrogen bonds mediate the characteristic L-shaped molecular structure. tRNAs have two regions of fundamental functional importance: the anti-codon, which is responsible for specific mRNA codon recognition, and the 3' end, to which the tRNAs corresponding amino acid is attached (by aminoacyl-tRNA synthetases). tRNAs cope with the degeneracy of the genetic code in two manners: having more than one tRNA (with a specific anti-codon) for a particular amino acid; and 'wobble' base-pairing, i.e. permitting non-standard base-pairing at the 3rd anti-codon position. The record is from Rfam by way of RNAcentral. Lineage: Eukaryota; Fungi; Ascomycota; Sordariomycetes; Sordariales; Lasiosphaeriaceae.
GCGUCAGUGGUUUAGCGGUAAAAUCCAUCGUUGCCAUCGAUGGGCCCCGCGUUCGAUUCGCGGCUGACGCA